UUAGGACGAACGCUGGCGGCGUGCCUAAUACAUGCAAGUCGAACGGUCUUUCUAUGGAAGCUUGCUUCCACUGAGAAGAUAGUGGCGAACGGGUGAGUAACACGUGGGUAACCUGCCCAUAAGAGGGGGAUAACAUCCGGAAACGGGUGCUAAUACCGCAUAGUUUUCUUGAUCGCAUGAUUGAGAAAGGAAAGACGGCCUUUGUGCUGUCGCUUAUGGAUGGACCCGCGGCGUAUUAGUUAGUUGGUGAGGUAACGGCUCACCAAGACGAUGAUACGUAGCCGACCUGAGAGGGUGAUCGGCCACAUUGGGACUGAGACACGGCCCAAACUCCUACGGGAGGCAGCAGUAGGGAAUCUUCCGCAAUGGACGAAAGUCUGACGGAGCAACGCCGCGUGAGUGAAGAAAAGGUUUUCGGAUCGUAAAACUCUGUUGUCAGAGAAGAACAAGUUGGAGAGUAACUGCUCCAGCCUUGACGGUAUCUGACCAGAAAGCCACGGCUAACUACGUGCCAGCAGCGGC
RNAcentral lists this ribosomal RNA (522 nucleotides) under uncultured bacterium. Its description in RNAcentral is "bacterial SSU rRNA". It matches the Rfam family "Bacterial small subunit ribosomal RNA", at positions 24 to 518 of the family's 1533-position model. The record is from RNAcentral.